UACAGAGGUCUCGAGCGUUGUUCGGAUUCAUUGGGCGUAAAGGGUGCGUAGGUGGCGCUGUAAGUCGGGUGUGAAAUCCUGAGGCUUAACCUCGGAACUGCAUUCGAUACUGCGGCGCUUGAGGACUGGAGAGGAGACUGGAAUUCAUGGUGUAGCAGUGAAAUGCGUAGAGAUCAUGAGGAAGACCAGUGGCGAAGGCGAGUCCCUGGACAACUCCUGACACUGAGGCACGAAAGCUAGGGGAGCAAACAGG
RNAcentral lists this ribosomal RNA (253 nucleotides) under uncultured prokaryote. Its description in RNAcentral is "partial 16S ribosomal RNA". It matches the Rfam family "Bacterial small subunit ribosomal RNA", at positions 524 to 776 of the family's 1533-position model. The record is from RNAcentral.